This 31-nucleotide non-coding RNA is filed under the name Mus musculus (house mouse). Lineage: Eukaryota; Metazoa; Chordata; Mammalia; Rodentia; Muridae. The record is from RNAcentral.
UAAUAAUUAUCGCUUGAAAUUCAUUCCCACA